RNAcentral lists this ribosomal RNA (400 nucleotides) under uncultured bacterium. RNAcentral describes it as "bacterial SSU rRNA". It matches the Rfam family "Bacterial small subunit ribosomal RNA", at positions 355 to 748 of the family's 1533-position model. The record is from RNAcentral.
UGAGGAAUAUUGGUCAAUGGGCGCAAGCCUGAACCAGCCAUCCCGCGUGCAGGAAGACGGCGCUAUGCGUUGUAAACUGCUUUUCCAGGGGGAGAAACUUGCGCACGUGUUGCGCAAUUGACGGUACCCUGGGAAUAAGCAUCGGCUAACUCCGUGCCAGCAGCCGCGGUAAUACGGAGGAUGCAAGCGUUAUCCGGAUUCAUUGGGUUUAAAGGGUGCGUAGGCGGACUAUUAAGUCAGUGGUGAAAUCCUGCAGCUUAACUGCAGAACUGCCAUUGAUACUGAUAGCCUUGAGUUUGGUUAAGGUAGGUCGGAAUGUGUAAUGUAGCGGUGAAAUGCUUAGAUAUUACACAGAACACCAAUUGCGUAGGCAGCUUAACUGAGCCGACACGUGACGCUG